UUUUUUUCCCCAAACACUCACAUUUGAAGAAGAACUUUAUUGUCAUUGCACACAAGUUACAACGAACUUUAGUUUGGCAGCAAUCCCCAGUAGCAGCUUGAGGUCAGGUGUUUAAAAAGGUUGAUUCUAAAACCAGGUUCAGCUCCGGGCAUGUUCACAGCCUUCACACUGCCCAUCAGACGUGCCAGCAGGUUGAGCUCCUCCUUUGCCAGAAGGUUGGGUGUGUCGUUUGGCUGCCACAGGAUAAGAUAAUGUUCCCCACUAAGAUGCAACAGGUGGCUAGGAAGAGGAUCAGCAGUGGUCAGACCCAAGCCUAUUGGCCAGGAUAAGGAUGACGCGUCAACACAGUACAACCAACCACAGAAUGUAAAUAAGUACUGCAGUGUUAGAGAGAAUAGAAACUAACUCUGUAUAACAAUGUCAGUGCUGAAAAUGCCUGCUGCCAUCAUCUCAUUAAACACCAACCCCAAAAAUGC
Mugil cephalus (flathead mullet) is the source of this 476-nucleotide long non-coding RNA. RefSeq lists it as uncharacterized. The record is from RefSeq and is a predicted model, not a curated record. NCBI's taxonomy places the organism in Eukaryota, Metazoa, Chordata, Actinopteri, Mugiliformes, Mugilidae. The transcript is spliced from 3 exons.